UAGGGAAUCUUCGGCAAUGGACGGAAGUCUGACCGAGCAACGCCGCGUGAGUGAAGAAGGUUUUCGGAUCGUAAAGCUCUGUUGUAAGAGAAGAAUGAGUGUGAGAGUGGAAAGUUCACACUGUGACGGUACCUUACCAGAAAGGGACGGCUAACUACGUGCCAGCAGCCGCGGUAAUACGUAGGUCCCAAGCGUUGUCCGGAUUUAUUGGGCGUAAAGCGAGCGCAGGCGGUUAGAUAAGUCUGAAGUUAAAGGCUGUGGCUUAACCAUAGUACGCUUUGGAAACUGUUUAACUUGAGUGCAAGAGGGGAGAGUGGAAUUCCAUGUGUAGCGGUGAAAUGCGUAGAUAUAUGGAGGAACACCGGUGGCGAAAGCGGCUCUCUGGCUUGUAACUGACGCUGAGGCUCGAAAGCGUGGGGAGCAAACAGGAUUAGAUACCCUGGUAGUCCACGCCGUAAACGAUGAGUGCUAGGUGUUAGACCCUUUCCGGGGUUUAGUGCCGUAGCUAACGCAUUAAGCACUCCGCCUGGGGAGUACGACCGCAAGGUUG
Molecule: ribosomal RNA, 550 nt
Filed under: uncultured bacterium
Lineage: Bacteria
Description: bacterial SSU rRNA
Rfam family: Bacterial small subunit ribosomal RNA
Source: RNAcentral